AUUGAACGCUGGCGGCAUGCUUUACACAUGCAAGUCGAACGGCAGCGCGGGCUUCGGCCUGGCGGCGAGUGGCGAAUGGGUGAGUAAUGCAUCGGAACGUGCCCAGUAGUGGGGGAUAGCCCGGCGAAAGCCGGAUUAAUACCGCAUACGACCUGAGGGUGAAAGCGGGGGACCGAAAGGCCUCGCGCUAUUGGAGCGGCCGAUGUCGGAUUAGCUAGUUGGUGGGGUAAAGGCUUACCGAGGCGACGAUCCGUAGCUGGUCUGAGAGGACGACCAGCCACACUGGGACUGAGACACGGCCCAGACUCCUACGGGAGGCAGCAGUGGGGAAUUUUGGACAAUGGGGGCAACCCUGAUCCAGCCAUGCCGCGUGCGGGAAGAAGGCCUUCGGGUUGUAAACCGCUUUUGUUCGGGAAGAAAUCCUCUGGGCUAAUACCCCGGGGGGAUGACGGUACCGGAAGAAUAAGCACCGGCUAACUACGUG
This 484-nucleotide ribosomal RNA is filed under the name uncultured bacterium. RNAcentral's name for it is "partial 16S ribosomal RNA". It matches the Rfam family "Bacterial small subunit ribosomal RNA", at positions 28 to 507 of the family's 1533-position model. The record is from RNAcentral.